Long non-coding RNA from Oncorhynchus tshawytscha (Chinook salmon), 1071 nucleotides. The record is from Ensembl. Lineage: Eukaryota; Metazoa; Chordata; Actinopteri; Salmoniformes; Salmonidae.
GUACUGGUACAGAGUCAAUGUGGAGGCUAUAUACAGGGGGUACCAGUACAGAGUUAAUGUGGAGGCUAUACACAGGGGAUAACAGUACAGAGUCCAUGUGUAGGCUAUAUACAGGAUGUACCAGUACAGAGUCAAUGUGGAGGCUAUAUACAGGGGGUACCAGUACAGAGUCAAUGUGGGGGCUAUAUACAGGGGGUACCAGUACAGAGUCAAUGUGGAGGUUAUAUACAGGGGGUACCAGUACAGAGUCAAUGUGGGGGCUAUAUACAGGGGUACCAGUACAGAGUCAAUGUGGGGGCUAUAUACAGGGGGUACCAGUGCAGAGUCAAUGUGGAGGCUAUAUACAAGGGGUACCAGUACAGAGUCAAUGUGGAGGCUAUAUACAGGGGUACCAUACAGAGUCAAUGUGGGGGCUAUAUACAGGGGGUACCAGUACAGAGUCAAUGUGGGGGCUAUAUACAGGGGGUACCAGUACAGAGUCAAUGUGGAGGCUAUAUACAGAGGGUACCAGUACAGAGUCAAUGUGGGGGCUAUAUACAGGGGUACCAGUACAGAGUCAAUGUGGAGGCUAUAUACAGGGGGUACCAGUACAGAGUCAAUGUGGGGGCUAUAUACAGGGGGUACCAGUACAGAGUCAAUGUGGAGGCUAUAUACAGGGGGUACCAGUACAGAGUCAAUGUGGAGGCUAUAUACAGGGGGUACCGGUACAGAGUCAAUGUGGAGGCUAUAUACAGGGGGUACCAGUACAGAGUCAAUGUGGAGGCUAUAUACAGGGGGUACCGGUACAGAGUCAAUGUGGAGGCUAUAUACAGGGGGUACCGGUACAGAGUCAAUGUGGAGGCUAUAUACAGGGGGUACCGGUACAGAGUCAAUGUGGAGGCUCUAUACAGGGUGUUACGGUACAGAGUCAAUGUGGAGGCUAUAUACAGGGGGUACCGGUACAGAGUCAAUGUGGAGGCUAUAUACAGGGGGUACCGGUACAGAGUCAAUGUGGAGGCUCUAUACAGGAGGUACCGGUACAGAGUCAAUGUGGAGACUAUAUACAGGGGGUACCGGUACAGAGUCAGUGUG